UAGGGAAUCUUCCGCAAUGGACGCAAGUCUGACGGAGCAACGCCGCGUGAGUGAAGAAGGAUUUCGGUUCGUAAAACUCUGUUGUUAGAGAAGAACAGCGCAUAGAGUAACUGUUAUGCGUGUGACGGUAUCUAACCAGAAAGCCACGGCUAACUACGUGCCAGCAGCCGCGGUAAUACGUAGGUGGCAAGCGUUGUCCGGAUUUAUUGGGCGUAAAGCGAGCGCAGGCGGUCAAUUAAGUCUGAUGUGAAAGCCCCCGGCUCAACCGGGGAGGGUCAUUGGAAACUGGUUGACUUGAGUGCAGAAGAGGAGAGUGGAAUUCCAUGUGAAGCGGUGAAAUGCGUAGAUAUAUGGAGGAACACCAGUGGCGAAGGCGACUCUCUGGUCUGUAACUGACGCUGAGGUUCGAAAGCGUGGGUAGCAAACAGG
RNAcentral lists this ribosomal RNA (429 nucleotides) under Bacteroidota bacterium. RNAcentral describes it as "Bacteroidetes bacterium partial 16S ribosomal RNA". It matches the Rfam family "Bacterial small subunit ribosomal RNA", at positions 355 to 776 of the family's 1533-position model. Lineage: Bacteria; Pseudomonadati; Bacteroidota. The record is from RNAcentral.